GAAAACGACUGCUAAGACUGGAUAGGAGACAAGAAGGCAUCUUCUUGUUUUUAAAAGACCUAGCAAUAGGUAUGCUUAGGGAGGAGCUUGCGUCACAUUAGUUAGUUGGUGGGGUAAAGGCCUACCAAGACUAUGAUGUGUAGCCGGGCUGAGAGGUUGAACGGCCACAUUGGGACUGAGACACGGCCCAAACUCCUACGGGAGGCAGCAGUAGGGAAUUUUCGGCAAUGGAGGAAACUCUGACCGAGCAACGCCGCGUGAACGAUGAAGUAUUUCGGUACGUAAAGUUCUUUUAUUAGGGAAGAAUAAAUGAUGGAAAAAUCAUUCUGACGGUACCUAAUGAAUAAGCCCCGGCUAACUAUGUGCCAGCAGCCGCGGUAAUACAUAGGGGGCAAGCGUUAUCCGGAAUUAUUGGGCGUAAAGGGUGCGUAGGCGGUUAAAUAAGUUUAUGGUCUAAGUGCAAUGCUCAACAUUGUGAUGCUAUAAAAACUGUUUAGCUAGGGUAAGAUAGAGGCAAGUGGAAUUCCAUGUGUAGUGGUAAAAUGCGUAAAUAUAUGGAGGAACACCAGUAGCGAAGGCGGCUUGCUGGGUCUUUACUGACGCUGAGGCACGAAAGCGUGGGGAGCAAACAGGAUUAGAUACCCUGGUAGUCCACGCCGUAAACGAUGAGUACUAAACGUUGGGUAAAACCAGUGUUGAAGUUAACACAUUAAGUACUCCGCCUGAGUAGUACGUACGCAAGUAUGAAACUUAAAGGAAUUGACGGGACUCCGCACAAGCGGUGGAUCAUGUUGUUUAAUUCGAAGGUACCCGAAAAACCUCACCAGGUCUUGACAUGCUUCUGCAAAGCUGUAGAAACACAGUGGAGGUUAUCAGUUGCACAGGUGGUGCAUGGUUGUCGUCAGCUCGUGUCGUGAGAUGUUGGGUUAAGUCCCGCAACGAGCGCAACCCUUAUUGUUAGUUACCAGCACGUAAUGGUGGGGACUUUAGCAAGACUGCCAGUGAUAAAUUGGAGGAAGGUGGGGACGACGUCAAAUCAUCAUGCCCCUUAUGACCUGGGCUACAAACGUGAUACAAUGGCUGUUACAAAGGGUAGCUGAAGCGCAAGUUUUUGGCGAAUCUCAAAAAAACAGUCUCAGUUCGGAUUGAAGUCUGCAACUCGACUUCAUGAAGUUGGAAUCGCUAGUAAUCGCGAAUCAGCAUGUCGCGGUGAAUACAUUCACGGGGUUUGUACACACCGCCCGUCA
RNAcentral lists this ribosomal RNA (1247 nucleotides) under 'Linum usitatissimum' phytoplasma. RNAcentral's name for it is "bacterial SSU rRNA". It matches the Rfam family "Bacterial small subunit ribosomal RNA", at positions 152 to 1399 of the family's 1533-position model. The record is from RNAcentral. Lineage: Bacteria; Bacillati; Mycoplasmatota; Mollicutes; Acholeplasmatales; Acholeplasmataceae.